CACGUAGUUAGCCGGGGCUUCUUAGUCAGGUACCGUCAUUUUCUUCCCUGCUGAUAGGGCUUUACACACCGAAAUACUUCUUCACCCACGCGGCGUCGCUGCAUCAGGGUUUCCCCCAUUGUGCAAUAUUCCCCACUGCUGCCUCCCGUAGGAGUUUGGGCCGUGUCUCAGUCCCAAUGUGGCCGUACACCCUCUCAGGCCGGCUACUGAUCGUCGCCUUGGUAGGCCGUUACCCUGCCAACUAGCUAAUCAGACGCGGACCCAUCUCAUACCACCGGAGUUUUUCACACAAAACCAUGCGGUUUCGUGCGCUUAUGCGGUAUUAACAGCCGUUUCCAACUGUUAUCCCCCUGUAUGAGGCAGGUUAUCCACGCGUUACUCACCCGUCGCCACUCAGUCAAAUGCUGCUUCCCUUUGAGCAAGCUCUCCAGUCCGCUGCAAGUGCUUCGUUCGACUUGCAUGUGUUAAGCACGCCGCCAGCGUCAUCCUGAGCAGGAUA
Molecule: ribosomal RNA, 499 nt
Filed under: uncultured Lachnospiraceae bacterium
Lineage: Bacteria; Bacillati; Bacillota; Clostridia; Lachnospirales; Lachnospiraceae
Description: partial 16S ribosomal RNA
Source: RNAcentral